This 460-nucleotide ribosomal RNA is filed under the name uncultured bacterium. RNAcentral describes it as "partial 16S ribosomal RNA". It matches the Rfam family "Bacterial small subunit ribosomal RNA", at positions 338 to 795 of the family's 1533-position model. The record is from RNAcentral.
CCUACGGGAGGCAGCAGUGAGGAAUAUUGGUCAAUGGACGAGAGUCUGACCCAGCAAAGUAGCGUGAAGGAUGACUGCCCUCUGGGUUGUAAACUUCUUUUAUAAAGGAAUAAAACGAGGCACGUGUGCCUUUUUGCAUGUACUUUAUGUAUAAGGAUCGGCUAACUCCGUGCCAGCAGCCGCGGUAAUACGGAGGAUCCGAGCGUUAUCCGGAUUUAUUGGGUUUAAAGGGAGCGUAGAUGGGUUGUUAAGUCAGUUGUGAAAGUUUGCGGCUCAACCGUAAAAUUGCAAGUGAUACUGGCAGUCUUGAGUACAGUUGAGGUAGGCGGAAUUCGUGGUGUAGCGGUGAAAUGCUUAGAUAUCACGAAGAACCCCGAUUGCGAAGGCAGCUUACUAAACUGUGACUGACAUUGAUGCGCGAAAGUGUGGGUAUCAAACAGGAUUAGAUACCCGUGUAGUC